UACGGAGGAUGCAAGCGUUGUUCGGAAUCAUUGGGCGUAAAGCGCGUGUAGGCGGCCUGGUAAGUCGGGUGUGAAAUCCCGGGGCCCAACCCCGGAACUGCAUUCGAAACUGCCUCGCUAGAGUCCCGGAGAGGAAGGCGGAAGUCCCGGUGUAGAGGCGAAAUUCGUAGAUAUCGGGAGGAACACUAGCCGCGAAGGCGGCCUUCUGGACGGUGACUGACGCUGAGACGCGAAAGCGUGGGGAGCAAACAGG
Molecule: ribosomal RNA, 253 nt
Filed under: uncultured bacterium
Lineage: Bacteria
Description: partial 16S ribosomal RNA
Rfam family: Bacterial small subunit ribosomal RNA
Source: RNAcentral